GACGAACGCUGGCGGCGUGCUUAACACAUGCAAGUCGAACGGAAAGGCCCUGCUUUUGUGGGGUGCUCGAGUGGCGAACGGGUGAGUAACACGUGAGUAACCUGCCCUUGACUUUGGGAUAACUUCAGGAAACUGGGGCUAAUACCGGAUAGGAGCUCCUGCUGCAUGGUGGGGGUUGGAAAGUUUCGGCGGUUGUGGAUGGACUCGCGGCUUAUCAGCUUGUUGGUGGGGUAGUGGCUUACCAAGGCUUUGACGGGUAGCCGGCCUGAGAGGGUGACCGGCCACAUUGGGACUGAGAUACGGCCCAGACUCCUACGGGAGGCAGCAGUGGGGAAUAUUGCACAAUGGGCGGAAGCCUGAUGCAGCGACGCCGCGUGCGGGAUGACGGCCUUCGGGUUGUAAACCGCUUUCGCCUGUGACGAAGCGUGAGUGACGGUAAUGGGUAAAGAAGCACCGGCUAACUACGUG
RNAcentral lists this ribosomal RNA (468 nucleotides) under uncultured bacterium. RNAcentral describes it as "partial 16S ribosomal RNA". It matches the Rfam family "Bacterial small subunit ribosomal RNA", at positions 28 to 507 of the family's 1533-position model. The record is from RNAcentral.